CUGUUUUCCAUAUGUGAGACCUGACAGAUGCAUUAUGGGAUAUUUUUAAUGCCUUGUGUAGGGUGCUCGAACAAGGGCAUUAGACAACAGCAGGCGAGGAGGAUACAAAUUAUGGAUGAGAAUUUUACAAAUUAAUGUGGAUAUUUAAAAAAGAGCUUUAGAAUUUCAUCAAAUAAUGCAAAGAUUGUGUUCUUCAUGCAAACCGAAGAUACAAAUUCGUGUCGUUGAGUAAACAAAAAAAAAAAAAAAACCAAGGUAAUAAAAUAAAAUUCAAUUAUUAAUAGUUUUUACAUCCAAGAUAUUAAUAAAGUUGUAUGGAGGUUCUGAAACUAGAAAUACAGGAUUGUUUUGUUAAGUCUUGGCGUGGAUACAUUUAAACACACGCAAGCCAAUUACAAGAGUGUACGUGUACAUGAUCAAAUAAUGGAUUUGUGAACUUCAUCGAGUGCUAGGCGGGGCUGAGUGGUGAUUAUAAACUUGGUUCUAGUGUGGGUUGAAGUCCUGAUAAAGUCUUGGAUAAGUUCCUGCAAUUCUGGAAUAAAGUCUUUAAAGUCUGGAGUAAAAUCCUGAAAUUCUGGGAUAGCGCCCUGGGAUCUGGAAAAGUGUCCUGAAAUCUGGAAUAAAGUCCUGAAAGUCUGGAAUAAAAUCCUGAGAUUCUGAGAUAGAGUCCUGGGAUCUGGAAUAGUGUCCUGAAAAUCUGGAAUAGUGUCCUGAAAAUCUGGAAUAAAGUCUUGAAAGUCUGGAGUAGAGUCUGAAUGUGUGGGUAAAGACCAAAGAGUGCGAUAUUGUCCUGCGAAUUUCGCUUUUGUCCUACAAGUCCUAACAGGUUUUCUGAAAGCCUAGGCUGCUGUCCUUCUAGUCUGGGCUUCAUGACGUGGUUGGUCCUACAAGAAUCUCGCCCGUUGGAUAGUUUAUGCUUGUUGGCACAUCCUUGCUGUUUCUCUAGACGCUAUGAAACACAGGGCACUGAAGAUAUGUCUCGUCAUCCUAGCUGUAGUGGGUACCGUCUCAGCACAAUUCUCAGUAAGCGACACCUCACCUGUCUGUCCAGAAAUACGGCCUGGGGGAAGAUGACCUUCCGGG
Molecule: long non-coding RNA, 1083 nt
Organism: Physella acuta
Lineage: Eukaryota; Metazoa; Mollusca; Gastropoda; Physidae
Source: RefSeq, a predicted model, not a curated record